AGUCUUAUAUUCAUUUCAUGAUAAUAGAAUGCAAUUCUAUAGGAGUAGAUAUCACUACUGAGACUU
This 66-nucleotide transfer RNA is filed under the name Nauphoeta cinerea (gray cockroach). RNAcentral describes it as "tRNA-Cys". The record is from RNAcentral. Lineage: Eukaryota; Metazoa; Arthropoda; Insecta; Blattodea; Blaberidae.